CACUCCUACGGGAGGCAGCAGUGGGGAGUAUUGCACAAUGGGCGCAAGCCUGAUGCAGCCAUGCCGCGUGUAUGAAGAAGGCCUUCGGGUUGUAAAGUACUUUCAGCGGGGAGGAAGGCGAUAAGGUUAAUAACCUUGUCGAUUGACGUUACCCGCAGAAGAAGCACCGGCUAACUCCGUGCCAGCAGCCGCGGUAAUACGGAGGGUGCAAGCGUUAAUCGGAAUUACUGGGCGUAAAGCGCACGCAGGCGGUCUGUCAAGUCGGAUGUGAAAUCCCCGGGCUCAACCUGGGAACUGCAUUCGAAACUGGCAGGCUAGAGUCUUGUAGAGGGGGGUAGAAUUCCAGGUGUAGCGGUGAAAUGCGUAGAGAUCUGGAGGAAUACCGGUGGCGAAGGCGGCCCCCUGGACAAAGACUGACGCUCAGGUGCGAAAGCGUGGGGAGCAAACAGGAUUAGAAACCCUAGUAGUCCCAUGA
This 475-nucleotide ribosomal RNA is filed under the name uncultured organism. RNAcentral's name for it is "partial 16S ribosomal RNA". It matches the Rfam family "Bacterial small subunit ribosomal RNA", at positions 334 to 800 of the family's 1533-position model. The record is from RNAcentral.